Molecule: long non-coding RNA, 675 nt
Filed under: Pan troglodytes (chimpanzee)
Lineage: Eukaryota; Metazoa; Chordata; Mammalia; Primates; Hominidae
Description: long non-coding RNA NONPTRT012586
Source: RNAcentral
GCUGUUGGUGAGUCUAUGAAUCUGGAGUCUGGAGAAUGGUGCCUCCAUAUUUAGGGACUCCAGCCCUAAAUUCUCCUUCUGUACUGCCCUAGUAAAAGUUUCCCAUGAGGCUCUGCCUCUUGGAAAAGAUUCUGUGUGAACACCCAGGUUUUUCCGUACAUACUCUGGAGUCUAGACAAAGGCUUGCAAGCGUCUAGUUUUGUGCUGUGUGCAGCUGCUGGCUUAACACUAUGUGGAAGCCACCAAGCCUUGAAGCUUGCACCCCUGAAGCAGUGAUGCAAGCUGUACCUGUGCAUCUUUCAGCCAAGGCUGGAGCUGGAGCUUCAGGAAUGCAGCCAACAGUGUCCUGAGGUUGGACAUAGCAGCGGGGCCAUGGGGCUGGAGAAGGAAACCAUUCUUUUCUCUCAGGCCUCAGGGCCUGUGAUAGCAAGGGCUGCUGCAAAAGUCUCUGAAAUGCCUUCAAGUCCUUUUUAAUAUUGUAUUGGCUAUUAGCACUGAACUCCUUUUUAUGCACAUUUCUGAAGACUUUUUGAACUUUCCCACUGAUAAUCAGCUUUCCUUUUUGGCCACUUGGCCAGGCUUCAAUUUCCAAACUUUUAAGCUCUCCUUCUCAUUUAAAUACAAGUUUCACUUUGAGGUCAUUUCUUUGGUCACACAUAGGAGCACAGGCUGUUC